This 2355-nucleotide long non-coding RNA is filed under the name Zonotrichia albicollis (white-throated sparrow). RNAcentral describes it as "lncRNA (ENSZALG00000017266.1)". The record is from RNAcentral. Lineage: Eukaryota; Metazoa; Chordata; Aves; Passeriformes; Passerellidae.
AGCUUGCAGGGAUGUGUGCGUUGGCUGGAGGGGAUGUCUGGAGGAGCUGGGAAGUAACCAGAUGACUGACAGCGAUUCAGGCUCGAUGCCUUAUGGAGGGGACAGGCGAACAGACCUGCUCCUUCCUUUGUGUUGCCAGUCAGGUCCUCCCUCUGCAGUCUUACACAGGAAGAAGAUUUAUAACAGCUGCAUGCAAUGCCAGUGUCUCAAAGAAACAGUAUCACGCCAUGUGGAGGAUUUUUGUUUGGGGUUUGUUUUCUCCACUGAAUUGGAAAGUUGCCUAACAAUGGCAGUAGUGCAAAGGCGAGAAACUGCUACAAACCCUACUUUGGUUCCACACAGAACACAUGGAAUGAAAAUUGAGAAAUGGAGCCAGAUGCUGCAGAGAGCUCAAGAUUUUUCAAAUGUGUGAAACCCCUCAGAGCAACUGAUCUCCUAGUUAUUUCUCAGCAAGGUACUCCAACAAGGGACACAUGAAAACCACUGAAAAAUAUUAUUUUGUCUACAUUCUUUCCAUCUUAAAAUCUGUUUAAAUCUGAAAAAUGUGCUACAUGGUCUCUCUACCAAUGCCCAAAAACAUCAGUGGGAGCCAGCUCAAAAAUCUGAAAAAAACCCAGAAUUUAAAAAACUCUACUGAAAAAAAAAUUAGACAUAGCCUUUAUUCAAUAGGUUAAAAAUAUCCAAAACUUAGCAUGAUCAAAAGUCUAGAGGAUAAAAGCUUUUGUUAGAUUCAGACACAUGGCCAUUGUUUCAUAUAGAAAUUAUCAAGGAAUAUUAAUUCAUACUGCUUCAGUUACAAGAUUUCUGUUUAAUCAUGUACAAUGCACAGAAGUAAACACACAAAACAUAGAUUUCAGUGUCUGGGAGCACCACCUCAUUCCUCAUGAUUUCUGAAAUUGAGGAAUGUAGCCUUCUGCAAAGCUCAUAGAAAUGAACUGCGGCUGGAAAGAUGGGAACAAGACACACAUCUCUGAGUUAUUCUUCAGGAUUCUUAAAACUGGAAUGCCAGAAUGACUGCUUCAGGUUCUCUCUUGGUAGAGGAAGGGAACCCUGAUGUAUCAUUUAUGCAAUAGCCAUGAGGUCCCCUACACCUUACCACACCCUGAAAAGUACAAGGGAAGCACAAUGGAUCAUAAUUUAUUUAAUAGUGGAUAACAUGGACUUUUAAACUAUUAGACAGCUCAAAGAACAUUUAUAAGAGAAGGCAGAAAACCCAUUAUUCAUAUCUCCAUGUAGUGGUUUGGUACCUUCUUGCAAAAAGUGACCAGCAUAUAAAAAUUGUGAAUUGCUGCCCAAAAGGCAGAUUCUUCCAUAAUUGAUCAUUAAUGUGUUUCUUGUACCUUCUUCUGAACAGCCAGUAUUGGCUGCUGUCAGGGGUAGAAUAAUCUAUUAGGCAAAUUGAUACCGAUCCAGAGUAAUGUGGCGAUUCCUAAAUGUUGUUUUUGCUAAACUGGAAACAGAAUAUUAAGUAUUUAUUUAAAGAGAAAGGAAAGCAGUUUUUAAUGGUAUCCUAUGGAGUUCACAGAUGAACAUGUUUGCUAUUAUUGCUAUUGUUCCUUUGUGGAUGCUCCUGAAGCUGAUUGUAAAGUCUAGUAAUUUUCCAUCCCCUGCCCUUGGCUGUACCUCUUGUGUUAUUUCAAACAAAAAAUGCAAAGCACUGACCCUCCAGUAACAGAAAGUCAUUUGGGAUGACAAAUUUUGUCAUCGUAUUGUUGUAAACACACAGUUUAAAAGUGUUAAAAUAGAUAUGCAAAUUGCAAUGAUUGUAUUCCUAAAUGUGCCUGCAGGAACAUCAGGUAGGUGCAAUCAAGGAAGAAAAAUGUUGUUGUUUUAGGGAUAGCACCUUGAAUUUAAAGAUAGGGCUGCAGCUGAGGGCUGCAGAAUGUAAAUUCACUUGUUAAACUGCUCAUUUAUAUAUAUUUAAAAACAGAGACUAUAAUUCAGAAAAGCACCACACAUAUUCUUAAGUGCCUUUUUACUGGAGAAGAGGGAAGGCUUUUCAUCACAUGCCUUCCAUGAGUGACGGCGGUCAGUGAGAAGAGUGCUGCAGUGAGAAAAGUGUACUGGCACAGCUGAGGUAUUUGACUGAAUUGAAGCAGCUAUGCUGGCAGCUACUCUCAGUAUAGACAUACAUCCUUUCCAUUUAUAUAACUAAUUUCUUUUAUAGGAUGUGGCUUAGCUAAUUGUACAACACACAUGCAUCCAAUCUCAUUGCAGUUGUACAGAUAGAGUAGCAGCUUUGACCUAACAAAGAGCUGUAAGAAGCCUUUUCUCUAACAGUUUGCUAGGUGAGGAGAUUUCGAGAACUAGAAACAAAGGAAUAAAAGCAGAUAAAUAUAAAUAUGCUGUUAUUUA